RNAcentral lists this ribosomal RNA (506 nucleotides) under uncultured bacterium. RNAcentral's name for it is "partial 16S ribosomal RNA". It matches the Rfam family "Bacterial small subunit ribosomal RNA", at positions 29 to 523 of the family's 1533-position model. The record is from RNAcentral.
AGUGAACGCUGGCGGUAGGCCUAACACAUGCAAGUCGAACGGCAGCACAGGAGAGCUUGCUCUCUGGGUGGCGAGUGGCGGACGGGUGGGGAAUACAUCGGAAUCUACUCUGUCGUGGGGGAUAACGUAGGGAAACUUACGCUAAUACCGCAUACGACCUACGGGUGAAAGCAGGGGACCUUCGAGCCUUGCGCGAUUGAAUGAGCCGAUGUCGGAUUAGCUAGUUGGCGGGGUAAAGGCCCACCAAGGCGACGAUCCGUAGCUGGUCUGAGAGGAUGAUCAGCCACACUGGAAAUGAGACACGGUCCAGAAUCCUACGGGAGGCAGCAGUGGGGAAUAUUGGACAAUGGGCGCAAGCCUGAUCCAGCCAUACCGCGUGGGUGAAGAAGGCCUUCGGGUUGUAAAGCCCUUUUGUUGGGAAAGAAAUCCAGCUGGCUAGUACCCGGUUGGGAUGACGGUACCCAAAGAAUAAGCACCGGCUAACUUCGUGCCAGCCGCCGCCGUAA